Molecule: ribosomal RNA, 256 nt
Filed under: uncultured bacterium
Lineage: Bacteria
Description: partial 16S ribosomal RNA
Rfam family: Bacterial small subunit ribosomal RNA
Source: RNAcentral
GGGGGCCUACGGGACGCAGCAGUGAGGAAUAUUGGUCAAUGGUCGGGAGACUGAACCAGCCAAGCCGCGUGAGGGAUGAAGGUACAGAGUAUCGUAAACCUCUUUUGUCAGGGAACAAAGGCGGGGACGUGUCCCCGGAUGAGUGUACCUGAAGAAAAAGCAUCGGCUAACUCCGUGCCAGCAGCCGCGGUAAUACGGAUGAUGCGAGCGUUAUCCGGAUUUAUUGGGUUUAAAGGGUGCGCAGGCGGUCUGUUUA